GGGGGCGCCUUGGUUUCGACGGGGGCCUUGAAGCGGCCGUAGCGAGCCGGGGGGCCGCGGCCCCGGAACAACGCGGGCACCAAGAAGUGCGAACGAACGCGAACUUGCUCUGGCUGCCUAAUUAGCGCGGUCAGCCUCUGUGUCGUCCGCGCCCGCAGGGCGGCAUAGGGGACAUCUGAGCGGGCUUGGCCACUCUCUUUGCCCUCCGGGGAGGGGCGACACAAAGGAGGGCUGGCGUUCGGGGAUCCCGUCCGGGGGAGACUCGGGCGCGAGAAGAGAACCCGGACUGCGCUCGGAGAAGCGGCCGUGGUGAGGCUUUCGGACGGGGGUUCGAGUCCCCUCGCCUCCACCA
This 352-nucleotide transfer-messenger RNA is filed under the name Brockia lithotrophica. RNAcentral's name for it is "Standard tmRNA". It matches the Rfam family "transfer-messenger RNA". Rfam says of the family: Bacterial tmRNA, also known as 10Sa RNA or SsrA, is named for its dual tRNA and mRNA-like properties. Its role is to liberate the mRNA from a stalled ribosome. The record is from Rfam by way of RNAcentral. Lineage: Bacteria; Bacillati; Bacillota; Bacilli; Thermicanales; Thermicanaceae.